CUCUGCGGUCCUGAGCAGUUAAAAUGAUGUUAGAAAAAUCCCAACUAAUAACUUUAGUGUGGCAGGUGCCAGCAAAGAAACAACCGACCGCAUGCGACGCUCUGGUGCUUCAGAUAUCGGUCUUUUAUGCUAGUCCCGUCGCGUGCUCAUUGUAAAAAUCGGCUUUGUGUGGCGCUUUUUAAAAAACGGGGACAUCUGGCGACAUAUUCUGUGUCCCCAGGGUUCGGGGUUUUUUGUUUUUUUUUAAUGGGGGUUUUCUUUUACAGUUAACGUGAUCUAACACAGCGACAGCGUGAACAAGCCAUAUUUGGACAUAUCAACGCUGUUUCUAUAACACUUUGGCACGCGCGCGUCUGUGAUUGGUCGUUGGGGGGAGUUCUAGAAUAAUAAGAACGUCGAACGCCAAAUUACAGCUACAAAGGAUUUAAAAAAUAAUAAGAUGUCACUUCUAAUGUAUAACUUGUCUUUAGGGCUUUAUCAGCGGAUCUCCACUGCCGAGACUAGUUUGGGCUCCCUGAUACCCACUGCCAGAAGAUUGACCACCCCGGUGAGCCUCAAGAAGCUUGUAUCUCAAUCCUGCUGAUAGCAACAAACACAUACACCACUGCUGUCUUCUCCCAAGCAGAUGGACUGCUCUCUCUCUCUCGAGGAGCUACGGUUACAAUGAAACUGUUUCCUGAUGAGUGAGAGCAUCUGAUUACUGCUGCAAACAUCCAGUUUCAUGAGUUUCAUGACGUAAAUACAGAUUUCACUGAGUUUUGUUUAAACCACUUUAGGCGCACAUGGUGGACGUCCCACUUAUCUGUACUCAUCUGUGUUGGCUUUCUCUCACAUUCAUACUGACCCUCGCCCCUCUAGGUGUUGUAGGUCCAGAACCCCUAAGCCAUAAAUCCUAUUAGUCAAGGAUUCUCUGAAGCAUUAUAAGUCGUUUUCCCAUCUUUCGUUGAUUGCAUUAUCAUUCGCUACCUGAGAGAAAUCAGCCCCCUCUGUGUAGUUUUUUCUUUUCUCUCUAUAUAAUUUAUAUGUCAGAGAUACAGGGCUGCAAAUGUAUUAAUGUAAACAAAAAAACACUCCAUUGGAAUCCUAACAAAAACUCCAGCAGUUUAUAACAACUGUCUUUUAAUGCCGCCAGUACUGUGUAGUUAAAAACAUUUGCAAUUUUCUGGAAAUAAUCUGUUAAAUUAAAAUUGAUUAUUCAUCCUCUGUGAGAAAGUAUGUGCCUAAAACCCCACUCUUUCUCAGUUGUGUCGCCUCUCUCACCGCCACCUCAAACUCAUGUGUUAUGGUAAAUUGAACGUGGCAGGGCCAGCCCUAUAGACGGAAGUUCAGACCCCUCGGUCGGAGGUUGUGUCACUCUCUGGGUGAGGGGGAAGUGUGUAAUCUGAGUCACAAUCAGCAUUAUGUGCUGUUUCACACACUGUUACAAUGCAUGUUUCAUCCGGUGCAUCUGCCUUUCUGUAUUCUAUCAUUUUUUGCCUUAAACUGUGGACCAACUUUUAGUAGUCUAUAAUGUUAUGAACAUGAUAAGACACCUUUGAUCAAAGAAAAGGAAAGGUAUAGUACAGCGGGGCAAAGGUUAAGUGUAACAGUGGUAAUUCUGUGCAAAGAAAGCAUUAAUUAACUCUCUUUUCCUCUUAUCCUGGAGCCCAGCGCCUGAAGGUUAGGUCUCCAGGUUAAGCAUAGUAUUAUCUUCAUACACUGGCUUCUAGAGCAAUGCCCUCUCUUUCAUCUUUGCUGCUGAUGCACAACUGAUCUUGAUUGCAUAACGGAACAGUGUCACAGGUGUGUCAAAGUGCUGAACUUUAAAACAGACAAACGUGUUUUUCUGUACAGCUUUCCCAGACAUUAGGUGACUGUUGCGUCAGCAGGCUUUCCUUUGUGAGAUUAUUUUUUUUACAUGUGAGUAUAAGUGGGAACUUUUCCGCUGAGAGUGAGCCAGUUCAUGACUCAUAUAAUUAGCCAAAGAAAAACUCCAGCAAGAGUCGAUGCAUUCUGUAUACCAAGUUUAAAGUGGCUUUGUUAAAUUAAAUCCAAAAUGUAUGUCCUAAUUAUAAUUUUGCAUUGCAUUUAAAAUAUGUGAAUGAACAUUUUGACAUGCCUCUGUUGUACUCCCUGUCACAGUAAAUUGAAGAACUUCCACAGAGCCGCAGGGCAAAAGCUUGGUAUGCCGGGCCUUUUGUUGGUAAGAGGGUUUUUUCUGCAUGCCAGGCAGAGCAAUCCAGCCAGCCCACGGGGGUCAGCAGAGGAGGGAGGAGUUUUGAUUAUGAUCAUUAUUUGGGUUUCGGCUUCGGCUGCCAUGUGCUAGUCUGCCUGGGCCUGGCACUUCUUACUUGCAGGUGGGGGCUCAUCUCUCAUUGCCAAGUGGAUGGAGUGAAUUAAGAGCACCUACUGUACCUUGCGUCCAGCCUCGUUAUUAUGGAGGUUCAUGGCUGCCCGUGCAUCCUGACCAGUCUCCAAGGCAUCCACAAACU
Dicentrarchus labrax (European seabass) is the source of this 2471-nucleotide long non-coding RNA. RefSeq lists it as uncharacterized. The record is from RefSeq and is a predicted model, not a curated record. The transcript is spliced from 5 exons. NCBI's taxonomy places the organism in Eukaryota, Metazoa, Chordata, Actinopteri, Moronidae.